UACGGAAGGCAGCAGGGGGGAAUAUUGCACAAUGGGCGCAAGCCUGAUGCAGCCAUGCCGCGUGUAUGAAGAAGGCCUUCGGGUUGUAAAGUACUUUCAGUCGUGAGGAAGGUGUUAAGGUUAAUAACCUUAGCAAUUGACGUUAGCGACAGAAGAAGCACCGGCUAACUCCGUGCCAGCAGCCGCGGUAAUACGGAGGGUGCGAGCGUUAAUCGGAAUUACUGGGCGUAAAGGGCACGCAGGCGGUUAAUUAAGUUGGAUGUGAAAUCCCCGGGCUUAACCUGGGAAUGGCAUUCAAGACUGGUUAGCUAGAGUCUUGUAGAGGGGGUAGAAUUCCAUGUGUAGCGGUGAAAUGCGUAGAGAUGUGGAGGAAUACCGGUGGCGAAGGCGGGCCCCUGGGACAAAGACUGACGCUCAUGUGCGAAAGCGUGGGGAGCAAACAGGGAUUAGAUACC
This 455-nucleotide ribosomal RNA is filed under the name uncultured bacterium. RNAcentral describes it as "bacterial SSU rRNA". It matches the Rfam family "Bacterial small subunit ribosomal RNA", at positions 340 to 786 of the family's 1533-position model. The record is from RNAcentral.